CGUCUCCUACGGGACGCAGCAGUGGGGAAUAUUGCACAAUGGGGGAAACCCUGAUGCAGCGACGCCGCGUGAGUGAAGAAGCGUUUCGGCGCGUAAAGCUCUGUCAGCGGGGAAGAAACACGGUUCGCGAGAGCCGCGGACGGUACCCGACCAAGAAGCCCCGGCUAACUACGUGCCAGCAGCCGCGGUAAUACGUAUGGGGCAAGCGUUAUCCGGAUUCACUGGGCGUAA
Molecule: ribosomal RNA, 231 nt
Filed under: uncultured bacterium
Lineage: Bacteria
Description: partial 16S ribosomal RNA
Rfam family: Bacterial small subunit ribosomal RNA
Source: RNAcentral